GAGCUCGUAGCUCAGUCGGUAGAGCACGUGACUUUUAAUCAUGGGGUCAUGGGUUCGAAUCCCAUCGAGCUCACCA
RNAcentral lists this transfer RNA (76 nucleotides) under Labrys monachus. RNAcentral describes it as "tRNA-Lys". It matches the Rfam family "tRNA". From Rfam's summary of the family: Transfer RNA (tRNA) molecules are approximately 80 nucleotides in length. Their secondary structure includes four short double-helical elements and three loops (D, anti-codon, and T loops). Further hydrogen bonds mediate the characteristic L-shaped molecular structure. tRNAs have two regions of fundamental functional importance: the anti-codon, which is responsible for specific mRNA codon recognition, and the 3' end, to which the tRNAs corresponding amino acid is attached (by aminoacyl-tRNA synthetases). tRNAs cope with the degeneracy of the genetic code in two manners: having more than one tRNA (with a specific anti-codon) for a particular amino acid; and 'wobble' base-pairing, i.e. permitting non-standard base-pairing at the 3rd anti-codon position. Lineage: Bacteria; Pseudomonadati; Pseudomonadota; Alphaproteobacteria; Hyphomicrobiales; Xanthobacteraceae. The record is from RNAcentral. RNAcentral also lists the same sequence under 8 other names.